GCGCUGGUUAUAAAGGAAAAGGACGACAUCGGGCCCCACCGUGCACUGCCACAAACUAUGGAUCCAGAUAUUACCCCGAUGGAAAGCCAUACACGGGAUAUGCUGUGACUACCUUGGAGGAAGUUGUGAGACAUGGAUCACUACUACCUGGAUGUUCUGCACAAGAGGCAGAGCUGAAAGCACUCACUGAGGCACUCAAUAAGUUCCAUUCCAGAUCCUUCUUCAUUGGAAGGGACUCAUGUGUUGAAACCUGCAGAUUGGGUUACGGUCAAAAGGCAUGUGAGAAAGGCUUUGAAUCCUCGGUUUGAUGGGCCAUUCCAAGUCCAGCUAACUAUUCCCACCUCUGUGAAAUUGGAGGGGAGACCAACAUGGAUCCACGCCUCACACUGCAAGAAGUUGAUCAAAUUAUGAGGUUGGGAAAAAAUAUAUAAAUUACAGUGAUAAACGACCAACCCCCUCCCACACAAGUGAUGGUCACUAUGGCUCAGUUUUUCCCAGAACCUUCCGCUGCUGAACAGACAACAAUUGUACCACCUACUCUACUCAUAUCUACCUUGAACUACAAUUACACAUACUGUGGAAGGAAGGUUGUGGAAAGCCUAACUGAUUGCAUAUAUUGUGGGACUGAGUUAUGAAAAAACAAUAAUUAAAAGACUCAAUGACUGACAAAUUGGGCUCACUCUCAUAGUGCACCUUUCAAGGUGUGGAUUCCACUGGUUGUGUAGGUCCAGGGUUAGAUAGAAAAGAUGACUCCUGUAAAAGACCCUCUGAAAGGAUGCUUGAUAUCCCACAAUUUGUGAGAAUUAGUAUUUUACCACUUUGUGUAGGUAGGGCGGUCUUAACCCAGUCUCUAUAUAAGCUGGAGUCACGUAGCGAUGCACGCCAAUCUGCUCUUACUAGUGUAGGGAUAGGAUGCUGCUGCUGCUGUGAGGGAGAGAAUAGGACAGAAUCUUUAAUCUGAAG
Molecule: long non-coding RNA, 963 nt
Organism: Bufo gargarizans (Asiatic toad)
Lineage: Eukaryota; Metazoa; Chordata; Amphibia; Anura; Bufonidae
Exons: 3
Source: RefSeq, a predicted model, not a curated record